GACGAACGCUGGCGGCGUGCCUAAUACAUGCAAGUCGAACGCUGAGGAGAGGAGCUUGCCUUUCUUGGAUGUGUGGCGAACGGGUGAGUAACACGUAGGUAACCUGCCUUGUAGCGGGGGAUAACUAAUGGAAACGAUAGCUAAUACCGCAUAUAAGUGGAUGACACAUGUCCUUUAAUUGAUAGAGGGUGUUGCUCCACUGUAAGCUGGACCUGCGUUGGAUUAGCUAGUAGGUGGGGUAACGGCUCACCUAGGCGACGAUACAUAGCCGGCCUGAGAGGAUGAACGGCCACACUGGGACUGAGACACGGCCCAGACUCCUACGGGAGGCAGCAGUAGGGAAUCUUCCGCAAUGGAGGAAAGCCUGACCGAGCAACGCCGCGUGAGUGAUGAAGGGUUUCGGAUCGUAAAGCUCUGUUAUAAGGGAAGAAAGGGUGUUAUGGGAGAAAGGUCACACUGUGACGGUAGCUGACCAGAAAGGCACGGCUAACUACGUG
This 497-nucleotide ribosomal RNA is filed under the name uncultured bacterium. Its description in RNAcentral is "partial 16S ribosomal RNA". It matches the Rfam family "Bacterial small subunit ribosomal RNA", at positions 28 to 507 of the family's 1533-position model. The record is from RNAcentral.